RNAcentral lists this ribosomal RNA (128 nucleotides) under uncultured eukaryote. Its description in RNAcentral is "partial small subunit ribosomal RNA". It matches the Rfam family "Eukaryotic small subunit ribosomal RNA", at positions 1651 to 1776 of the family's 1831-position model. The record is from RNAcentral.
CCCUGCCAUUUGUACACACCGCCCGUCGCUCCUACCGAUUGAAUGGUCCGGUGAAGCGCUCGGACCGCGGCCUCUUGACGGUUCGCUGUCGAUUGGCUGUGGGAAGUUCGUUAAACCUUAUCAUUUAG